Molecule: ribosomal RNA, 506 nt
Filed under: uncultured bacterium
Lineage: Bacteria
Description: partial 16S ribosomal RNA
Rfam family: Bacterial small subunit ribosomal RNA
Source: RNAcentral
AGUGAACGCUGGCGGUAGGCCUAACACAUGCAAGUCGAACGGCAGCACAGAGGAGCUUGCUCCUUGGGUGGCGAGUGGCGGACGGGUGAGGAAUACAUCGGAAUCUACUCUGUCGUGGGGGAUAACGUAGGGAAACUUACGCUAAUACCGCAUACGACCUACGGGUGAAAGCAGGGGAUCUUCGGACCUUGCGCGAUUGAAUGAGCCGAUGUCGGAUUAGCUAGUUGGCGGGGUAAAGGCCCACCAAGGCGACGAUCCGUAGCUGGUCUGAGAGGAGGGUCAGCCAACCUGGAACCGAGACACGGUCCAGACUCCUACGGGAGGCAGCAGUGGGGAAUAUUGGACAAUGGGCGCAAGCCUGAUCCAGCCGUACCGCGUGGGUGAAGAAGGCCUUCGGGUUGUAAAGCCCUUUUGUUGGGAAAGAAAUCCAUCUGGUUAAUACCCGGGUGGGAUGACGGUACCCAAAGAAUAAGCACCGGCUAACUUCGUGCCAGCAGCCGCCGUAA